GGGGAUGUAGCUUAGUGGUGGAGCAAUUGCCUAGCAAGCAUGCGAAGCCCUGGGUUCCAUACCCAGCACCACGA
Molecule: transfer RNA, 74 nt
Filed under: Heterocephalus glaber (naked mole-rat)
Lineage: Eukaryota; Metazoa; Chordata; Mammalia; Rodentia; Bathyergidae
Rfam family: tRNA
About the family: Transfer RNA (tRNA) molecules are approximately 80 nucleotides in length. Their secondary structure includes four short double-helical elements and three loops (D, anti-codon, and T loops).
Source: Rfam by way of RNAcentral